Astatotilapia calliptera (eastern happy) is the source of this 1150-nucleotide long non-coding RNA. NCBI's taxonomy places the organism in Eukaryota, Metazoa, Chordata, Actinopteri, Cichliformes, Cichlidae. The record is from Ensembl.
UGAUCAGCCAACAUAAUGCAAUGUUGUCCUAAAAAACCAUGGGAACUGGCUUUUAUUUAGUUCUUGCUGUAAUGGGGAAGUCUUUAGGACCCAGGGGACCCAAUGGAGGGUAUAAAAGAGGAAGUAGCAGCAGGUGCUCUCCAUUUUCCACUGACGAGCGGCUGUGAACAAUGGUUGUGUGAGUAGGUGAAGAGCCUGAGAAGUUUUAAUUGUCUGCUACACAAACAGUUGUUUUAAACCUCUACAGCAGAGGUUCGAGGUACAGGCUGUUUUUCUUUUAGUGUUUUUUUUUAAAUUUGUUGAAAUGUAUUUGAUGUUUAUUGUAUUUUAUGUUUUAGUAGUGAUUUUCACAAGAUAAGCCAAGAUAAGCCAGGUGUGCAGCAAACACAGUUGUCUGCUGGAGGUAUGUUAACUUAAUAUAUUUGACAUUAAAAAAAAUAUAUUGAUGCACUAUAAUCUAAUUUAUAUUGUAUUGCCUCCUGCAGGGCAGGCUGCACAUGUGAAUUUGUCGCUUUUUUUUUUCCUCCUUCUCCUUGUUGUUGUGUUUUUGGUUUUGGUAGGGUCACCUUUUAAAACUGUUUUUUUAUGCCGGGUUUGUUUUUAUUUCUACUGGGCUGGUGCAAUAUUAGUCGGGCAUUGUGCAAUCCCUGAGUGGGGCUCUUACCUUAGGGGAAUUAGGAUCUUUAGAGGUGCUCUGUGUGGAUUUGCAGUGAAUAGGUUUUUAUUAAGAGUGAUUUUUAGUGCCACCGAUUAUUGCCUGAACUAGCACUUAGUGCAUGCGAUAAGUGUUCUGUUGGGCUCGUAUUUAUUUGGGGUGGAUUUGUUUCUUUUAAAGCAACGAGCAUCUGGGACCGCCAAGGGAGAGCAAGCCCUCAGGUGAUAGUUGCAUUGCUGGCAGGUUGCACCAAUAACACUAUCUUGUGGUCGUUAGUGACCUUUUACCAUUUUGAUGUUUUAGGCCUUUUGCAAACCCUUUGUGUUCUUUUAAAAUAAUAAAUUUUAACAUAUCUGACUGAUAUUGACCCUCUUGUCCUGUUUAUUCUGGGCUCGUUCCUGUGAGAGCUUUGGGCCUGAAAGUUUGCACAAGUAGUAUAGAGGCCCUUAGCGGUUACUCGGUGGCUUUCGCUCGCUACAUUGCCACGUAUCACCC